UAUCUAUAUAUCUGUCUAUCUAUCUGUCUAUCUGUCUGUCUAUCUAUAUAUCUGUCUAUCUAUCUGUCUAUCUUCUUCAGCUUUCAAAACAAAUAAUAGGCUAAAUGUAUUUAGACCGCACUUAAAGAGGUUCAGCUGGGGGUGGAUUAGUAAAUCCUGAAAAGUGGUUAGAGGAGGAGGCUCUGCUUAGGUUCCUGCCCAGGGCGCUCCUCCACUAAACACUUUUCACCUCAUAAACUCGUCCACCAAAUCGUCAAAGUCUGGCUCGUUAACAAGCUCCAGCGUAAGACCCGGAAACGACUGCGUGCCGGGAGUUCUGCUGCACGAUUCAGUUUAAAGUUCAUUUUUAAUCCGACCCGUUUCAGAAAACAAAUGCUGUCUCUCUUCUCGUUCUUUUUAUUUAUUAUUUUGUCCCCCAAUUGACACACUUAGUGGGGGUUUAUGAUUAUCGGGGGGUUUUGUUUUUAUGCAUCAUAUUGUGUGUGAUGGCGUAAUGGACACUAAUCAUUCUAUGUUCGUUAAAGGCCCUGGGUCAGUGCUCAGUAGGCCCGGUCAGUCGUCCACCCUGCACACACCUCGGCCUCUCCGGUUUCUCCAUGGCUGAUACCUGGCAACAUGAGCUACCGUAGGUUUUACCCAACUGAUUUGACAGACAUGGUAUAAUGUCCACGUUCCUCUCAGGUGAAGUCAGUGUGUACGUGCUCGCGACGGAUUCGAGUAAUCGCAUCUUUAACGGUUCAGCUCCUUUCCUCUCAUCCUUUUUUUAACUCACAAUAGAUCAUUUAACAGUCUAGUGGAUUAUUCUUUAUUAUAUUACAGCCAAAUUAAUGCGACUGGGUUUUUUUUUUUUUUUUCUCCCAGCUUUUAAGAAAGAACAAGGACAUUUUUACAUACUUAAACAUGAUUCAAAUGCUGUACUGCCUCGUCAAAUCCAAUACGCCGAGCUAAUUAGGUUUUAGUGUUUCAGGCAAAUGUGCAAAAGUGGGCUUAAUUUAAGACAAGAAAAGCCCUUUUUUGUCAUUUUAAACAGCGCCGAAAGGCCGCUGAUUCAAAGGAGUCUCUGAAACGUGUUGUCUUAUUUAUCUGUGUUUCAAGUGACAGUGUUUGGAGACUCGGAUAUGCAAUUUACUGCUCAAAUCCGGCAGACAAUAAUGUGUAGCUUCGCCGGUCCCUCGGCGUUCUCGGCAGGCGUUCGGUCCCACUCGUGACUAGUGAGUGACUUGACGAGGAGAAUAAAAAUAACAGACUAAAGCAAGCAAAUGGAAAAUGUGUUUGUAAAACACUUGCUUUAUACGACGUAAAUCGGGAUCUGAAUAGAGGGCGGCGUGAACGUCAGCAUCGCCAUGUCGAUAUUUUGAGAACGUCACAGUGAGGAUGGCAGUUCUGUUUGUGUUUGUUUUUCUGCGUGGUUGUUUUCUCUCGUCCUCGUCUCGUGGAAAUAAAUCGACUAAGGACAUACUGUACGUGUGCGUUGUGAUGAAGCGGAUUUAACUCGUAUCUCCCUGAGGUUGAUUAUUUUCCUUUAACGGGACAUAAGGGAACGUUUUGCUCUUCUCAGACCACAGGAUUCUUUGCCAACGAUCAUGAGUAAAAGCUAUAACAAUAUUUCUAGCCCAAAGUCUUGCCGACUACAUGCUGCAUUUCUGUUUAUCAUCCUCCUUUCUGGAGAUAUCACAUGGCACUAGGAGAAAGGAUUCAUUGCAAGAGCGUGUAAUAAAGUGAAAGGAAUGAUGAUUUUAUUAAUCGAGACACGCCAGCACUAAGGCUUUUUUUUUUUUUUUUUUUUUUUUUCCAGACGGAGUGAAGCUCCAGGUCAACCCUGUAAUCAUGUGGCUGAGCUACUAUUAGUCUAGCAAUCAUAACUUAAUCAUAUCAUACGCUAAUUGACCUGAAGAGGAAAGCACAGGGUCAAAAAUAAUCCAAUCAUGGAAUAAAUAUAGUAUAAGUAAUUCAUACUUCUGUAAAUGGGGGAGUCCUUCAACUUUCAAUUUCGCUCCGGACUUUAUUCUUUUCUUUGCACACGAGGCGAGUGGAGUGAGCACGGCUUCUCGAGCCUCCAUCCAUCCUCGCAGCCGUGCCCAAGGUGAUCUGCACCAUCCAUUCUUAUCAUCUAGUUGUCAAUUGAUCUAUUACCCCUGCACCCUAUUCACUUAAUGGUAGCGUGAUUAAUUAUCGCCACCUGCAGUGCAGACAGAAAGAGAAAGUGGAGAAAAGGAAGGAAAAAUCUUAUUGCGGAUCCUUUUUUCUCCGGCUUUUGUCCGUUAGACCUUGGAUUUAUAAGCUCGUCUCUAAAGUCAAUGAAGUAUCGAUGAGUUCAGGUGUAUAUGAAUACCGAGCCUGUUCUGCCUCAUUGGCCGCAAAACCUCGACUUGAACCUUUUAGCGUGAUUUGUAUAUCAGUAGCAGGUAUAGAACUCAUUAGAAACUCAUUUCUCUUAACACGUUCACAUGGAAUCUGGAAUCGGUAUUGUGCAGGAUCGCUGUUCAAAUGUAAAUUGUGUUCUAAAAGGAGAUUAUAUCGCCGGUUUUCGGCAUCGGGAGAAAUGCAGGCCUGCUAGUGGAGGUGUCGAAGCGUCUGAAGAGCUUGUUAACUCAGGCAUGAAACGCACUUGUGGAUAUUUUACUUUCUCUGUAAGACCUGUUUUACGUCCAGUGAUGGAAUAUUUGUGAACAAGCCGACACUUUAAGGUAAAUGUUGUAGAGAAAUUUGUGUAAAUAAAGAGUUGAAGGUGCACAUUACACCACUCCAGCUCACACUCCGCAUUGCAUGUAGUGAUCUCAGGCUGCUCGGCCCUGGAAACCCAUUUCAUGAUGCUCCUGAGGCACAGUUCUUGUGCUGAUGUUGCUUUCGGAGGCGGUUUGGAACACUGUAGUUAGAGAUGCAACAAAGGAUAGGCAAUGCACUUUAGCACUCUCUCUGUGAGUGUGUGGUCUACGUCUUCAUGGAUGAGCUGUUUUUUUUUUUUUUUUUUUGCUUCUAGAAGCUUCCAUUUCACAAUAAUAGCACUUAAAGUUGACCAGGGCAGAAAUUUCAUGAAUUGACUUGUGAUAAAGGUGGCAUUCUAUAUCAGUGCCACGUCCGAAGUCACCGAGCUCUUCAGUACAACCCGUUCUACUGCCAGUCUCCGUGUAUGGAGACUGCACCGUUCGGUUGUGUGCUUGGUUUCAUGCGCAUGUUCGCAACGGGUCUGGAUGAAACACCUGAACUCAAUCAUUGAGGGGGUGCAAAUACUUUUAGCCAUAUAGUGUAUCUUGAAAAACAUCUUAUCAACUCCUAACCUGUUUGCUUCCGUGUAUCGAUUCUUCUUCUUCGUCGUCAUCUUACCAUUAAGGGUUCUGUGGCUUGUUCCUCUGGCGGAACCAUACAACAGGAGGUUUCCCUAUCAAAGAAAAUCCAAGAAAAAAUGUCUGGGUUCCGCGCGCGACCCUGUUCCCCGAGAAGGGAACAAGACAUCGUGUGAGUUGUUCAGUACAGCAUAGCAAUUUAGACCUAACACUGACUUCAGCUGACCUUAUUUGGCUUCUUCCUGUAGUGGAAAGCUGAAACGGAGGGUUUCCCUAUCAAAGAAUAUUCAAGAAGAACCUAUUUAUGAUACGAAGAACCCUUAACUAUCUUGGAAAACUUCUUAUCAACAUCUGGACUGUUUAGUUAAACAUAAUUUAGAGCCGAAACCCACCUCUUUGUCGUAACAUUAAGGGUAGAGUUCCGUAAGAACUUACUUCGGAUGUAAAGAGACACUUUCCAAGACCAGGGUCUCUGCAGGUAUCAGCACUUCAAAUCUAAUACUUUUUAAUACCAUGUUCAAAAAAUGGAUUGUGUUCAUGCAGAUACAUCCGUUUCUGGGUUUAAGUAAACUAUAGCAGGGUAAACUUCUAUAGAGGGAUAUGGGAGAGCGCAGCAAAUUUAAAAAAUCCAGUAUUUCCUCAGUACAUCCAGAGCAUGUUCUCCCCGUGCUGCAGGGGUUUCCUCCCCCAGUCCAAAGACAUGCAACGUAGGCUGAUUGUCAUGUCCGAAUUGUCCAUAGUGUGUGAGUGUGUGUGUGUGUGUGCCCUGCGAUGGAUUGACACCCAGUCCAGUAUGAACCUCACCUUGUUCCCGAUGCUCCCUGGGAUACACUCCGGGUUCCCUGCGACCCUGUAGGAUAAGAGGUGUAGAAAAUGGAUGGAUGGAUGGAUUCAAUUUUAUGUUAGACCUUGUGGCUUUUAUUUUGACUGAACCCACUUUUUUUUAUCUUACAAUUAAGGGUUGCUUGGCCUUCUGAUGGAAAACUACGACAAAAGGUUUCCCUGUCCAAUAGGGUCCAAGAAGAAUUCCUUUAGGGUGUGAAGACUAUCAAUUUUUAAUACAUUUUAAGACAGAACACAUUUCUUCAGGCAAUUUCUAUAGUCUCUAAAGGUUCUUUGAUCCGUUCCUCUGUUGGAAACCAUAAAAGUUUUAUGUAGAAUCCUGCAACAGAGGGCUUUCUGGCAAACUGUUACGGCGUAAGCGGAAUAAAACACCCGGGAUCUGAUUUAUUUGUAAUAACAACAGUACAGCGUCAUGAUCUUAUUAUAACCUCACAUUCGAUUGAAUUAGAAAUGGAUGUAAUGCACACGAUAAGAUGGAUGUAUUCCAGAUUUUUUCUUUUUUUUUUUUUUUUAAUUAUAUGACUUUUUUCGCCCAUGAAUCCCCAAAUCCAGUCCAUCGAUAUGAGACGUCACAGUGAGUGAGAGAUGGGAUUUCCAAUUUGAAUUCGCAUGACAGUGAUGUGUUUUAUUCUCAAACACUCCAUGAUCUGACCACGUCUUUAAAAAUAAAUAAAUAAAUAAAUCAAUCAAUAAAUGAAAACCUCGGCUCAGUGUUCACUCGCAGGAAGGAAGUGGGGCCGGAUAUCACUUCUUUUGACAGUUUUAUCCAUCAGACGUCAUGGUGUGAAUUUGUUCUGUCAGGGAAAUACCCUGCAGAUGAGAACAUAUCUGCGUAUUACUGCACAAUUAAUGUAGCUGAAAAUCCUUCCAGCUGUUAGGUGUAGAAGGAGGAAUUUGUCAGGUUGAAGUAUCGACUCAAUAAGUGAAUGUACGUUAUGACACCGAGGCUUUUUUUUUUUCUCUCUAUGUAUCGUAUUUUAUUUCUGUACUCACACCCUAAUCUCUGUCAGUUUGCAUAGCAUCUGUAGCACUCGCAAAGUUCAUUAAAGUGUCUAUAAAACUAUAACCGGAGCAAAAUCUAAAUUCGGAUUGGCUUGAUGAUGCGAUUGAAUUUACGGGAUGAAAAAUCUGACUUGUCCUCAUCAGACGACUGGCGAGUCAACGUCUCAGAUGAUUAUUUUUGAAUUCUUCUGAGAAUAAACGUCCCGAUCAAUUUCAUGCUUUCUAAAGCCUGGCAAAUUAUUUAGGAAGAAAGAAAAUCUGUGUCACGUGUCCAGGUUUUAUUCAUCCUUCGUUCUGAUACGUUUUUAAACAGGCUGUGUAAAGAAAAAUAAACCACGUAUUACAAAAAUAAAAAUAAAUAAAUAAAUAAAUAAAUGAAUAAAUAAAUAAAUAAAAAACGAAGACCAGACAAGUGGUUUGCUUCGGAUUUUUACUGAAAAGUGACAUUUCAAACAAAAGUCGAAUGAUCUGAUCUGGAUGAAAUCGUUUGAACUCAUUUAGCUUAAAGUAUAAAGCUGAGAAAGCUCAAAUCCUUGUAAGAGGUUUUUUUUUUCCAUUUUCAUUAAUAAAAUUCAUAAACUCCAAGCUGUCACGACGUGUAAUAGGAGUGCUGCGAAUCAUCCGGAUCAUUCCAAGGGCCUUCGGCUGUCCAUUUCGCUGAUCUACAGAUGAUGAACCAAUUCAGCACUGUCAACGCUUCCUCCUUUAACUUUAACAAGAAACUAUUUUAAAGUCAGCUCCAUUUUCUGCCAUGAUAAAAGAUUAAAUAGGAGCCAGUCGCUCUGUUCUGACACCAAAGAAUGACUUUUUUUUUUUUUUACUUAGGGUCCAGCUGUGAAUCAUUUCUUCCUAGAGAAAGAAAACUAAGUGCACCUACAACAUGAUUAUGUGUGUCCUGUUCGAUUGAUUGUUUAUACGAUAAACAGCUCUGAACAUCUCUUGGUUUUAUCCUUCAGUUUCAGUUGUUAAAAAGGAUAAACCAACAUGACGAUCAGAGAGCUGUCUGUAGGAGAAAAGCGAGCCAUUUUGAAGCUGAGAAAAGAGAGAAAAUCAAUCAGAGGCAUUGCAGAAACAUUGGGUAAAGCCAAUACAACAAUCUGGAAUGUCCUGAAAAAGAAAGAAUCCACCGGUGUACUGAGGAACAGACACCGAACGGGUCGGCCGAGGAAAACAACAGCAGCUGAUGAUGGAAACAUUGCAAGAGCUGUGAAGAAAAACCCAAAAUAACAACCAGUGACCUCACCAACAUCCUCCACAGCGCAGGGUGAAGGUCUCACAGUCCACCGUUUGAAGAAGUUUUCGAGAGCAGAAAUAUUGAGGUCGUACCACAAGAUAUAAACCACUCAUCAGCAGUAAGAAUCAGAAAUCCAGACUGGAAUUCACAAAGAAAUACAGAGAUGAUCCACAAAAGUUCUGGAACAAGAUGAACCUCUACCAAAGCGAUGGAAAGACCAAAGUGUGGAGAAAGAAAGGAUCUGCUCACGAUCCAGAACAUACGAGCUGAUCUACAAAACAGUUUGGUGUCAGUGAGUCACUGGAUUGAUGCAGAUAUUGAAAGCAAGGUGUAAAAGUGAGGGCUCGUGUUUUAACGGCGGUGGUUCAGACGCUUGUGUAGAACCCCGUCUCAGAUGCUUCUACUCAAGAAAAAUCUGGCAGUCUCAGAGGUGUGAACUGCAAGCAGUCCAUUUAAGUGCGUGAGCGACCCGACUGAAUACGGGGAACUUUCCUGACAAAAAUAUCGAGUCACCGAAUCUGAAUACAGCCUUACGUGUAGGUGAAUUUCAUCACGCUAUUUCCUGAAAUUCCGCAUGACAUCAGAUGAUAAACGUCAUAAAGUAGAUGUGAUAAAUAAGUGGUUUAAACCCGGCUUUAAAGACUAAGCAUUAUUGAGGCUUUCUGGAGGCUUUCAUCCGGCUUCCUCGAGCUGUUUGGUGGCUGUUAAAUAAAAAGGACUGUGAACCAUU
Long non-coding RNA from Ictalurus punctatus (channel catfish), 7093 nucleotides. The record is from Ensembl. NCBI's taxonomy places the organism in Eukaryota, Metazoa, Chordata, Actinopteri, Siluriformes, Ictaluridae.